Molecule: long non-coding RNA, 3030 nt
Filed under: Aedes aegypti (yellow fever mosquito)
Lineage: Eukaryota; Metazoa; Arthropoda; Insecta; Diptera; Culicidae
Description: lncRNA AAEL023354
Source: RNAcentral
CAUGUGUAAGAAUUUGAACCAAAAAACGUUGGUACACUACCGCCAUCUAUUGCAGACUACCCAAGUUGAGCUUAUCAUUGUUCCCAAACCAUAUUUUUUCCCAUAAGAUAUGUGACCACUGGCUGCACUGCUGUCAAAUAAAUCAAAACAAAACAUCUGUGUCGGUUUCGGUUGAUAGCUGCAAAAUUUUCGAUGAGAUUGAAAAUGUUUCAGAUUACCGUAAUAAACAACGUAAAAUUAUCAUUAUUUUCGCCAAGAAAUGAAGCCAGCUAAUAGUGCUAAAUUUUGCUGCCUUGCUGCUCUACGUUUCUCUGUUGCGAACCGAUCGCCGUACGCAAUAUCGUAGGGGUGAUUACCUGGGUCAUUUAAGUAUCGACGGAUUCACGGUCUUACAAAAAACUAUUUAUCCAGAAAGUUCCCACUGAUGAAAAGACAAAUAACAGCACGUUCCAGGAAGUGCUAGCCAAAACAUUUCAUUGGACCAAGGCGAAGUGUCGAUCGAUAAAUCCAUCCUUUUUUUGCUCGCCGGCAGUCUCUGGCAUCGGAAUUCGCUCCAGCUACUAAGCUUGCUCAAGCAUUUCACACCCAAAGCAGGAAAGGGAAAGUUUCCGGUACAGGGAAAUGAGUAGUUAGGCAGAUUUAUCAUCCAUAUUGCUAGUGUACCCAGAGUUGAAGAACACCUUCAGGAAAUAAUGGCCCAUUGAUUCAUCCAGCUGGAUUUGUGUAGGUAGAAUAAUGCCAAGAAAACCCCCCAAGCUAAAGAUAAUUUUGGAAGUGGCCAAGUAGUUCGUUACCCUACUGUUUCGCGUUGGGGAACGAGAACCAAAUGUUGUGGGUGGAGUACCAUCAGUGCACCAGUAUCCGCUCAUGUUCCAGUAGCCCGCUCACACUGAAAAAAGGUAAGUUUACACAAAGGUAAUUUGAAAACUAUAACCGCUAUACGGUUCAAAUCGACAAGUUGAAUCACACUAUGGACAUAUUUUUGUGUAUUUACUCAAAUUAACUUACUUUUUUAACUCGUGAGCGGGCUACUGGAACAUGAGCGGAUUCUGGUACGUUGACGGUAUUAAGGUGAAACAUUUUGGCAUUUGAGUUUAUGAUGAAUUGAACUUGUAGAGUCACUGUCGAUCAUCUAGUUCGUUACGAUUCGUUUGAACAAGAAAACUAUGGUGAAGCCAUUCAAUAAUUUAAAUUGUUUCACAUUCCGGAAGGCAGCAUUCAUUUACUCUCCGUAAAGCUUUUCGCAUUAAAAUUUUCGAAAUUAUGUAUGAGUCGUAAUGUUUGAGCCUACCCCCUUCCCCUUAAAGCGUUACGUAAUUUGUGGACAGCGGCCAACUUUCCUCAGCCUUACGCUUGGUUUCGACAGGGUAGUUAAGUUGAAGCAAGUGAGACGAUUCACUUGGCUAGAACAAAGAUGAACAAGUUAAGUUUUCUUGUUUUACCUGACACAAGAUAUUUCAACUCAGAUACUUCAAAUGUAUUGUUCGUCGCAGUUGGCCUAUAUGUUCUUAAGUCCAAUACUGAUAAUUGUAUGUCAUGAUCUAGAAAACGCCGCCAGCUAAGCUUCCAAUACAAUUUAAAUAAUAACCAUAUUUAUGAGUUGCAUAAAGUAUAACAAAUGUAUUUCAUCACUGUUCUGGGAGAUUCAUACGUACGGCUUUCCUAUUACGUUUUCGAUAACGUUUGUUAUUUUCAGCUAUUUUUUGCUGAACCCGUACAUCGCGAAGAAAGCCUUGGAUUAAUGUAUUAAAGAUGAUAUCUACAAGUUUAUGAAAGCAGGAUUCACAGGCUCCAUAAUCAAACGAUUCAUACUUCAGAUAUGCUUUCAAACGAGUCUUCACGUUCCGUCUGUUUUGGUAUAAAAAUCUUUUAAAUUUCUGCUUGAAACAGAGAAAAGCAAGUAUUCCAAUAUUGUACAAGCAGCUGUUAGGAAUAGUCACAUUUUUCGAAGCACAUGAAGCCUUCAAUUUGAUAAAUGAAUAAUCCUCAUUUUGGAGACAUUCAUCAUCUUGUUCCGCCGUUAGCUUCUGCUUGCAUUUCUUGUGCGGCAGCUUGCUUGCCGCUGCACCAAUUACAUACACCAAUGCAUUUAGCUCUUUUUUCAACGCUUCGAAUGGUGACUCCAAGUCAAGAGCUUCAUAAUCGUAAUUACAUGGUUCAUACGUAUUGGGUUGCAAAUCAUCCACGUCGUUUUCCUCGAGUAACGGCCUUGCUGAAUCGUGCUGACAGUUCGUUCCUUCACCAAAACCUUUUUCUAAAGCGGCGAUCAUGGCGUAUUUGAAAGCACUGCCAAACUGGAAUGCGUUUGGAGCAUCGUUGAAACCACACCGCCUUCUUAUUUCAGAAAAAAAGUUCUCCAGGCAGUCUUGGCAAAGCACGUUCGUGCAUAGAUAUGAACACAAGUAUUCAUUUCGUAAUACUUCCCAUAGCCAUCGCAGAGCUUUUAUAUUGCUAAUCCAACCUUUGAGGAACGGCGGUCGUUUUUGGCAUGCUUUUAAGUACGUAGAUUCUUUACGCGCCUAAGAAGAUAAAAAUUUCAUAGACCAUAUAAGAUUAUGUGAUUAUGUGAUGUUAGGAAAAAAUAUAAAAAAUAAAAUUUACCUUCUCAUAGUCUAAGCAAGAACUCUUGGUAAAAUACAUGUCUUCCAAAAUAGACUCCACUUUAUCUAGAUACUGGAAAUGACCAGAACCUGUUGUUAUCGGCGUUCUGUUAAUCUGUAAAUAUGUUUUGUUCUAUCAGUUAUUAUGGUAUACUCAGAUAUUAGUUUUUAUCACACAAUACAAUACAACACAGAAUUUUGGAUUGAACUUUUUGUUGAAUCUCUUUUUUAAAUUAGUUUUUUUGACACAUGUUUUGCAAUCUUCUCUCAAUGGCUCAUUUGAAAAAAUAAUCUUAUUUUAUAUGUUUUGUUAUUACAAAAUAUUAUUUUUUCGAAUUUUGUUUAAGGUACCGUGAGUCAAGUGAGUAAUGGAAAUCGUGGAAUGCUUAUAGUCUGAAUGAAAGAAUUACCUCAAGAGCGGAGAUAUCGU